Molecule: long non-coding RNA, 391 nt
Filed under: Cricetulus griseus (Chinese hamster)
Lineage: Eukaryota; Metazoa; Chordata; Mammalia; Rodentia; Cricetidae
Description: lncRNA (ENSCGRG00015042229.1)
Source: RNAcentral
CCGAGGCGGGAGCGAGGCGGUCGGCGCCGUCCCCCGUCGCCACAGCCACUGCAGCUGGCCGCGCCGGGCGAGUGGGAGGGGUGGCGGAGUGGAGGAUGCUACUCCCCGACUGAAGGGAGAGGAAGAAACGGAAACAGGAACCGCGGCCGCUGCUUAACGGAGCCUUCGGCGCCACUGACUGAGGGAAAGCGCAAGGCGGCGCGAGCCAGGCAGAGGCUGACAGCGCGAGACCGAGCGCGAGCCGGGUCCAGGGCGCGCGACCCCGAGCAGCGCCGGCCCCAUUCCACCAGGAACUGUGUUUCUGAAAUGCAAAGAGGACACUGCUUUCAAAAAAGAAAAAGAAAAAAAAUUCCGGGCCUUAAGCAGCUCCUCACCCAAGAGCAGCUCUUCC